UACGUAGGGUGCAAGCGUUGUCCGGAAUUAUUGGGCGUAAAGAGCUCGUAGGCGGUCUGUCGCGUCGGCUGUGAAAACUCGGGGCUCAACCCCGAGCCUGCAGUCGAUACGGGCAGACUAGAGUGCUGUAGGGGAGACUGGAAUUCCUGGUGUAGCGGUGAAAUGCGCAGAUAUCAGGAGGAACACCGGUGGCGAAGGCGGUUCUCUGGGCAUGUCCUGACGCUGAGGAGCGAAAGUGUGGGGAGCGAACAGG
This 253-nucleotide ribosomal RNA is filed under the name uncultured bacterium. RNAcentral describes it as "partial 16S ribosomal RNA". It matches the Rfam family "Bacterial small subunit ribosomal RNA", at positions 524 to 776 of the family's 1533-position model. The record is from RNAcentral.